UGUUAUCUCUAUCAAGAUGAUUCUAAUUCAUCAGAUAUUAUUUAUUCUAGUAUCUGGAACACGAAAUAGAUAGAGUGGAUCAAAAAAAAUGGAACUAUGAUUCAUACUCACUAUUAAGACCUCGCAACCAGACUGAAAAAUUCAAGUAGUUCUUAAAUAAAAAUAAAAAAGAAAUUUUCUUCCUUCCAAUUUUGUUUGCCCAAAAGACAACUUUUUUUCUCUUGAUUUUAUAGAGUUUGAUCAACAAUAUGUCAUCCAUAUAUAGUUAUCAAAAUGUUGUAGUGCUCCCACUCACUUUAUUGCAAAUACAAAGUUCUUGCAAACUUUGUAUAAACCCAAAUGCUUUGAUCACCUCAUCAAAGCGUAUGUUCCAACUCCGAGAUGCUUGCUCCAGUCCA
Molecule: long non-coding RNA, 398 nt
Filed under: Triticum aestivum (bread wheat)
Lineage: Eukaryota; Viridiplantae; Streptophyta; Magnoliopsida; Poales; Poaceae
Description: long non-coding RNA (TAES_LNC004540)
Source: RNAcentral